This 447-nucleotide ribosomal RNA is filed under the name uncultured bacterium. RNAcentral's name for it is "bacterial SSU rRNA". It matches the Rfam family "Bacterial small subunit ribosomal RNA", at positions 355 to 825 of the family's 1533-position model. The record is from RNAcentral.
UGGGGAAUAUUGGACAAUGGGCGAAAGCCUGAUCCAGCCAUGCCGCGUGAGUGACGAAGGCCUUAGGGUUGUAAAACUCUUUCGUCGGGGACGAUAAUGACGGUACCCGAAGAAGAAGCUCCGGCUAACUUCGUGCCAGCAGCCGCGGUAAUACGAAGGGAGCUAGCGUUGUUCGGAAUCACUGGGCGUAAAGCGCACGUAGGCGGAUAGUUAAGUCAGGGGUGAAAUCCUGGGGCUCAACCCCAGAACUGCCUUUGAUACUGGCUGUCUCGAGGUCGAGAGAGGUUGGUGGAAUUCCCAGUGUAGAGGUGAAAUUCGUAGAUAUUGGGAAGAACACCAGUGGCGAAGGCGGCUAACUGGUCCGGUACUGACGCUGAGGUGCGAAAGCGUGGGGAGCAAACAGGAUUAGAUACCCCAGUAGUCCCUGAGCGGGCUGGCAAGGCGCAU